UUAGUGGAAGCGUCUGGAAAGGCGCGCGAUACAGGGUGACAGCCCCGUACACAAAAGCGCAUGUGCUGUGAGCUCGAUGAGUAGGGCGGGACACGUGGUAUCCUGUCUGAAUAUGGGGGGACCAUCCUCCAAGGCUAAAUACUCCUGACUGACCGAUAGUGAACCAGUACCGUGAGGGAAAGGCGAAAAGAACCCCGGCGAGGGGAGUGAAAAAGAACCUGAAACCGUGUACGUACAAGCAGUGGGAGCACCCUUUGGGGUGUGACUGCGUACCUUUUGUAUAAUGGGUCAGCGACUUAUAUUCUGUAGCAAGGUUAACCGUAUAGGGGAGCCGGAGGGAAACCGAGUCUUAAYYGGGCGUUAAGUUGCAGGGUAUAGACCCGAAACCCGGUGAUCUAGCCAUGGGCAGGUUGAAGGUUGGGUAACACUAACUGGAGGACCGAACCGACUAAUGUUGAAAAAUUAGCGGAUGACCUGUGGCUGGGGGUGAAAGGCCAAUCAAACCGGGAGAUAGCUGGUUCUCCCCGAAAGCUAUUUAGGUAGCGCCUCGUGAAUUCAUCUCCGGGGGUAG
Molecule: ribosomal RNA, 571 nt
Filed under: Salmonella enterica subsp. enterica serovar Oranienburg str. S-76
Lineage: Bacteria; Pseudomonadati; Pseudomonadota; Gammaproteobacteria; Enterobacterales; Enterobacteriaceae
Description: partial 23S ribosomal RNA
Source: RNAcentral